GUCGAUCUUGGAGGUAAGCAGGUACCCUGU
Molecule: non-coding RNA, 30 nt
Filed under: Cricetulus griseus (Chinese hamster)
Lineage: Eukaryota; Metazoa; Chordata; Mammalia; Rodentia; Cricetidae
Source: RNAcentral